Molecule: ribosomal RNA, 292 nt
Filed under: uncultured bacterium
Lineage: Bacteria
Description: partial 16S ribosomal RNA
Source: RNAcentral
GGACUACCCGGGUAUCUAAUCCCGUUCGCUCCCCACGCUUUCGCGCCUCAGCGUCAGGUGCGGCCCAGGAAGCCGCCUUCGCCACGGGUGUUCCUGCUGAUAUCUACGCAUUUCACCGCUACACCAGCAAUUCCACUUCCCUCUGCCGCCCUCAAGAAAGAGAGUUUCCAGCGUUCUUCCACGGUUGAGCCGUGGGCUUUCCCACCGGACUUCUCUCCCCGCCUACGCGCGCUUUACGCCCAGUAAAUCCGGACAACGCUUGCCCCCUACGUAUUACCGCGGCUGCUGGCAC